UCUGAAAUUGUGAACUGGAGCAAAGUCAUUGUAACGCUACUAUUUAGUUUUGCUUUUUUAAAUAGUGAGAAGUUUAAUAUUUAGAACAUUUGACGAGUAGAGAAAAAUUUAAGAUGUUCUGAACUAAUAACGUAUCGGAUGUUUGAAUGUGCGAAGCACGGUCCCCGAUAUUAAUAUAGUAAUACAGUACUAUAGAGAGGCUCAAGUUAUGAUGGCAGUGGAGAAAGAUAGGAGAACAUCGUUGCCGAUUCUCUGCCUUGCCACUGCAAUCUAUAGAGAGUAGCUGUUACCGGUACCUAACUGUUCAUUGUUGUUUAAAAUCAACCAUUAUAUUUUUCAGUUAAUAAAUAAUACAUAUUUA
This 361-nucleotide long non-coding RNA is filed under the name Nilaparvata lugens (brown planthopper). Its description in RNAcentral is "uncharacterized LOC120351523". Lineage: Eukaryota; Metazoa; Arthropoda; Insecta; Hemiptera; Delphacidae. The record is from RNAcentral.